AUUGAACGCUAGCGGGAUGCUUUACACAUGCAAGUCGAACGCGUGGCGGACGGGUGAGUAAUAUAUCGGAACGUGCCCAGUAGCGGGGGAUAACUACUCGAAAGAGUGUCUAAUACCGCAUACUCUUGGAGCGGCCGAUAUGGGAUUAGCUAGUUGGUGGGGUAAAGGCUCACCAAGGAAACGAUCCGUAGCUGGUUUGAGAGGACGACCAGCCACACUGGGACUGAGACACGGCCCAGACUCCUACGGGAGGCAGCAGUGGGGAAUUUUGGACAAUGGGGGAAACCCUGAUGCAGCCAUCCCGCGUGUAUGAGAAGGCCUUCGGGUUGUAAAGUACUUUUGGCAGAGAAGCGGUAUCUGCAGAAGAAGCACCGGCUAACUACGUGCCAGCAGCCGCGGUAAUUC
This 405-nucleotide ribosomal RNA is filed under the name uncultured bacterium. RNAcentral's name for it is "partial 16S ribosomal RNA". It matches the Rfam family "Bacterial small subunit ribosomal RNA", at positions 30 to 526 of the family's 1533-position model. The record is from RNAcentral.